This 468-nucleotide ribosomal RNA is filed under the name uncultured bacterium. Its description in RNAcentral is "bacterial SSU rRNA". It matches the Rfam family "Bacterial small subunit ribosomal RNA", at positions 355 to 825 of the family's 1533-position model. The record is from RNAcentral.
UGGGGAAUAUUGGACAAUGGGUGAGAGCCUGAUCCAGCCAUGCCGCGUGCAGGAAGAAGGCGUUAUGCGUUGUAAACUGCUUUUUGCCAGGGGAUAAAAAGACCGUGCGCGGUUAAUUGAAGGUACCUGGUGAAUAAGCCACGGCUAACUACGUGCCAGCAGCCGCGGUAAUACGUAGGUGGCAAGCGUUGUCCGGAAUCACUGGGCGUAAAGCGCACGUAGGCGGAUAGUUAAGUCAGGGGUGAAAUCCUGGGGCUCAACCCCAGAACUGCCUUUGAUACUGGCAAUCUAGAGUCCGGAAGAGGUUAGUGGAAUUCCCAGUGUAGAGGUGAAAUUCGUAGAUAUUGGGAAGAACACCAGUGGCGAAGGCGGCUAAACUGGUCCGGUACUGACGCUGAGGUGCGAAAGCGUGGGGAGCAAACAGGAUUAGAUACCCCCGUAGUCCCUGAGCGGGCUGGCAAGGCGCAU